CUCCUCACAUUGAUUGACAAACAAGACUCACCUGAAAAUGUAGCUAACAUGGCAGGUACUAUCAAUUGUUUUUUAGCUGGUUUUAAGACUAACUUCUGGAUUGUUGAUACAGGAGCAUCAAAUCACAUGGUUUCCUCCAUGGACUUAAUGUCAUCUAGUACUACUCUUUCACCUUCUCCUCAUAACCAAGUUCAUUUACCAAAUGGUGAUAUAGCUCAAAUCACUCAUAAAGGGACUUGU
This 240-nucleotide long non-coding RNA is filed under the name Solanum tuberosum (potato). RNAcentral describes it as "long non-coding RNA (STUB_LNC009786)". Lineage: Eukaryota; Viridiplantae; Streptophyta; Magnoliopsida; Solanales; Solanaceae. The record is from RNAcentral.